UCGUAGGUGACCUGCGGAGGGAUCAUUACAAGUGACCCCGGUCUAACCACCGGGAUGUUCAUAACCCUUUGUUGUCCGACUCUGUUGCCUCCGGGGCGACCCUGCCUUCGGGCGGGGGCUCCGGGUGGACACUUCAAACUCUUGCGUAACUUUGCAGUCUGAGUAAACUUAAUUAAUAAAUUAAAACUUUUAACAACGGAUCUCUUGGUUCUGGCAUCGAUGAAGAACGCAGCGAAAUGCGAUAAGUAAUGUGAAUUGCAGAAUUCAGUGAAUCAUCGAAUCUUUGAACGCACAUUGCGCCCCCUGGUAUUCCGGGGGGCAUGCCUGUUCGAGCGUCAUUUCACCACUCAAGCCUCGCUUGGUAUUGGGCAACGCGGUCCGCCGCGUGCCUCAAAUCGACCGGCUGGGUCUUCUGUCCCCUAAGCGUUGUGGAAACUAUUCGCUAAAGGGUGCUCGGGAGGCUACGCCGUAAAACAAACCCAUUUCUAAGGUUGACCUCGGAUCAGGUAGGGAUACCCGCUGAACUUAAGCAUAU
This 535-nucleotide ribosomal RNA is filed under the name Cladosporium cladosporioides. RNAcentral's name for it is "eukaryotic LSU rRNA". The stretch from base 185 to 338 matches the Rfam family "5.8S ribosomal RNA". Lineage: Eukaryota; Fungi; Ascomycota; Dothideomycetes; Cladosporiales; Cladosporiaceae. The record is from RNAcentral.